CUGCAGCCCUGGGGCCCGGGAGGACUGCGGCCGCGGAACGUCGUAGAGGAUCAGGGAAGGUUCAGGGUCGACCUCCAGACUCAGUCCUUGGGUUGGGUGGCAGGGUGGGGGCACUAGGGUGGGGAGAUCUCGAGUUUAGGCCAUAAAAAAGAUCAGAAAGAGAAGAGCCCGAGAGAGAGGUGGCCCACCUUGGCCCCGGAGCUUGGGAGGGCGGGUCCCGGCUGGGGUUCGUGGGAUCUGGACCCACUCGCCCCCCGGGACGCGAGCGCGGCGGGGACCGGGCGCGCGAGGCUGCGCCGAGAGAGGGCGCCGGCCCAGGUGCGGCCUCUGGGUGUGGCCGAAGCCAGCCCAGGCGGCCCGGAUUGUCGUCCUCUGCGGAAGCGGCCCGGGCGCGGGAGCCGCGGGCGUAGCCAGCUCCGGAGCCCCGCGCCUCCGCCGCCCCGCGCGCCCUUCCUUUGUGUCUCCCAAGCAGGGGUGAACGCAGACCACUUGGAUUUGAUUUUUCCGUGCGAGUUCCCUUUUUUCCAAGUUCGGGGCCCCUCCUUCCCCCAGCGGCGCGCGCCCCCGGGGUGUCCGCCCCCUCCCCCUCCGGCCCAGCCCUGGGCGGGGCAGACGCCCUUGGAGUCGGGAGAAAAGACUAUCUGAUUUCAAAACCGACGCGACCCGAGCUGGGCUGCGGAAAUGGCGCCCAUGUCCCGGCUCCGGCCAGGUCGUGAUCAGGAGACAGACUGAGGAGCCUCUCCCCACCGCAAUCCCUUUAUACUGGGUAGGGGUUCGAAGGCACAGGGACAGAGUAUACAGGACACUGCUUGAGGCAGCGCGUCCACCCACCAUCUGUGCGACCUCAUCAAGUCACCUCUCUGAGCCUCAGUUUCCCGGUAUAAUGGAAACGGCAAUUUUAAAUGACACGUUCUCCACCUGGUACAAGAAGAGUGGCCCAGAGAAAGGACAAGCUCCAUGGAGGAUGUGGGCAAAACACCAUCUUUUUCUUUUCUUUUGAGACAGUUUCCUUUUGUCUCCCAGGCUGGUGCGUGCAGUGGCACCAUCUCGGCUCACUGCAACCUCCACCUCCCAGGUUCAAGCAAUUCUCCCGUCUCAGCCUCCUGAGUAGCUGGGACUAAAGGCGUGAGCCACCACACCCAGCUAAUUUUUUGUAUUUUUAGUAGAGACAGGGUUUCACCAUGUUGGCCAGGCUGGUCUUGAACUCCUGACCUCAGGUGAUCCACCCUCCUUGGCCUCCCGGAAUGCUGGGAUUACAGGAGUGAGCCACCGCUCGUGGUCUUUCCUGUUUGUUUUCAAGGCCCUCCUUUGAAGCAUCACCUUUUCCACUGCUGUAUCCCACGCCUUGAACCUGCCCAGCUGAUAGCAGAGGUGUAAUAAAUAUUUGUUGAAUAAGUGGAUAACUAAAGAAGCCUAUUUUAUUUUAUUCGGGCCUCA
Molecule: long non-coding RNA, 1437 nt
Filed under: Homo sapiens (human)
Lineage: Eukaryota; Metazoa; Chordata; Mammalia; Primates; Hominidae
Description: non-protein coding lnc-DNAJB7-2:2
Source: RNAcentral